UACGUAGGGUGCGAGCGUUGUCCGGAAUUAUUGGGCGUAAAGAGCUUGUAGGCGGUCUGUCGCGUCUGCUGUGAAAAUCCGGGGCUCAACCCCGGACUUGCAGUGGGUACGGGCAGACUAGAGUGUGGUAGGGGAGACUGGAAUUCCUGGUGUAGCGGUGAAAUGCGCAGAUAUCGAGAGGAACACCUGCGGCGAAGGCGGGUAGCUGGGCCGACACUGACGCUGAGGCGCGAAAGCCAGGGGAGCGAACGGG
Molecule: ribosomal RNA, 253 nt
Filed under: uncultured bacterium
Lineage: Bacteria
Description: partial 16S ribosomal RNA
Rfam family: Bacterial small subunit ribosomal RNA
Source: RNAcentral